UACGUAGGGUGCGAGCGUUAAUCGGAAUUACUGGGCGUAAAGCGUGCGCAGGCGGCUUCGCAAGUCAGACGUGAAAUCCCCGGGCUUAACCUGGGAAUGGCGUUUGAAACUACGGAGCUGGAGUGUGGCAGAGGGGGGUAGAAUUCCACGUGUAGCGGUGAAAUGCGUAGAUAUGUGGAGGAAUACCGAUGGCGAAGGCAGCCCCCUGGGCCAACACUGACGCUCAUGCACGAAAGCGUGGGGAGCAAACAGG
This 253-nucleotide ribosomal RNA is filed under the name uncultured bacterium. RNAcentral's name for it is "partial 16S ribosomal RNA". It matches the Rfam family "Bacterial small subunit ribosomal RNA", at positions 524 to 776 of the family's 1533-position model. The record is from RNAcentral.